UGCGUAGGGGGCUAGCGUUAUCCGGAAUUACUGGGCGUAAAGGGUGCGUAGGUGGUUUCUUAAGUCAGAGGUGAAAGACUACGGCUCAACCGUAGUAAGCCUUUGAAACUGGGAAACUUGAGUGCAGGAGAGGAGAGUGGAAUUCCUAGUGUAGCGGUGAAAUGCGUAGAUAUUAGGAGGAACACCAGUAGCGAAGGCGGCUCUCUGGACUGUAACUGACGCUGAGGCACGAAAGCGUGGGGAGCAAACAGGAUUAGAUACCCCCGUAGUCCCUGAG
This 277-nucleotide ribosomal RNA is filed under the name uncultured prokaryote. RNAcentral describes it as "partial 16S ribosomal RNA". It matches the Rfam family "Bacterial small subunit ribosomal RNA", at positions 524 to 801 of the family's 1533-position model. The record is from RNAcentral.